GUUGAAACACCGGUUUCCAUACGAUCACUGAUGUUAAGCAACGUCGAGCCUGGUUAGUACCUAGAUGGGUGACCGCUUUGGAAUACCACGUGCUGUAA
Non-coding RNA from Acanthosepion pharaonis, 98 nucleotides. NCBI's taxonomy places the organism in Eukaryota, Metazoa, Mollusca, Cephalopoda, Sepiida, Sepiidae. The record is from the annotation of a GenBank genome assembly.